UCCAAAAAGGACAAUGAUUAAAAUUACAAAAAAUGACUGUACUCCAAUUUUUUCUUUCAAACAUUAUCCAUUCAAUGUCUUUAAAAACCAUCAAAUUAGAUUAGUUUUAGAAUUCGGGGUUCUAAAUGCAUAAUGUUCCAUCAAAUAUUUGUCCUGUUCUGAGUUAAAAAAAGGAGGCACCAACAUCAGGCGAAGGUAAAGGUAGAUGAAAGUUGGCGAGCAACAGAGAAUGAUCCGUGACAUGCCAUAUGGGGACUUGCCAUAUGGGGACUCAGUUUUGCUUUCGUGUAUAUGUAUCAGUGUUUUAGUAUUUCGUUUUUAAUAAAAAUUUAAUCUUUCCUCUUUUGAAGAAA
This is a long non-coding RNA of Cucumis melo (muskmelon), 353 nucleotides long. RefSeq lists it as uncharacterized. The transcript is spliced from 2 exons. The record is from RefSeq and is a predicted model, not a curated record. Lineage: Eukaryota; Viridiplantae; Streptophyta; Magnoliopsida; Cucurbitales; Cucurbitaceae.